CUCCGGCGAGGGCGGCUUGGCGAGGGGCGGCACGCCGCAAGCCUCAACUUGCGGGAUGGUGCCCAGGGCGAUGCUGGGGUUGAACAGGCUGCCCCAGGUCUGCGGUAGGCUGGCCUGCCAGUUCCACGUGGCCACGGUGCUCCAGUCGCCGGUGUUGAGGCGCUGGAUGGAGGUGCCCUGAGGCGUGUUGUUGUUCUCAAUCACGCCGGCGCCAACGUUGGUGCAGCUGUGGCCGGCCGCGGGGCCGUUCGCGGCGAUGCUGUUGAAGCCCUGCGAGUUGGCGCCGUAGCAGAUGAAGUCCGCCACCGACCAGCGCACGCCGUCCGUGCACUUGGUCAGCAGCGCAAAGCCGUCCCAGCCGCCGUUGCUGUUCUGCAGGUUGCCCUGCAGGUCAAUCACCAGCGCCGUCCAGUCGAAGUUGGGCGUCUGCAGCCGCGUCUCGCUGAUGACGGUGAUCUGGGGUGACGUGAACGGGAACACGUUGCCGUGCAGGCUGCCGCUGGCGGUCUGCGGGUUGCCGUUGAACGUGUACUGCGCCAGCCACAGGUCUUGCCUCCAGUCGAAGCCGGCAGGCACAAUGAUCUCAAUCCACUCCCGCUUGUCGCUGUUGCCGCCCUGGGGGUUCUGGUCAUAGUGGAACUCGGAGAUGAACAGCGACGGGCAAUCGUCGCAUGGCGGGGGCGGCGCGGGGCUGGGCGGGGCAGGUGAAGGAGGCUCCGGGCUGGGCGGCGCGGGGCUGGGCGGCCGCGGGCUGGGAGGCGCAGGUGACGGAGGGGCAGGUGAAGGCGGCGCAGGGCUUGGUGGACGGGGACUGGGAGGUGCAGGCGAUGGAGGAGCUGGUGACGGCGGUGCAGGAGAUGGCGGGGCUGGAACGGGCGGCGCCGGCGAGGGAGGCGCAGGCGACGGCGGCGCAGGGCUGGGAGGCGCAGGCGACGGCGGUGCUGGGCUGGGCGGCUCCGGCGAGGGCGGCUUGGCGAGGGGCGGCACGCCGCAAGCCUCAACUUGCGGGAUGGUGCCCAGGGCGAUGCUGGGGUUGAACAGGCUGCCCCAGGUCUGCGGUAGGCUGGCCUGCCAGUUCCACGUGGCCACGGUGCUCCAGUCGCCGGUGUUGAGGCGCUGGAUGGAGGUGCCCUGAGGCGUGUUGUUGUUCUCAAUCACGCCGGCGCCAACGUUGGUGCAGCUGUGGCCGGCCGCGGGGCCGUUCGCGGCGAUGCUGUUGAAGCCCU
Molecule: long non-coding RNA, 1226 nt
Filed under: Chlamydomonas reinhardtii
Lineage: Eukaryota; Viridiplantae; Chlorophyta; Chlorophyceae; Chlamydomonadales; Chlamydomonadaceae
Description: long non-coding RNA (CREI_LNC000565)
Source: RNAcentral